UCGAACGAGAAAGUGGAGCAUCCAUGAGUACAGUGGCGUACGGGUGAGUAACACGUGGGUAAUCUACCUCUUAGUGUGGAAUAACCCUGGGAAACCGGGGCUAAUACCGCAUAAUCUCGAGAGAGGAAAGCAGCAAUGCGCUGAGAGAGGAGCCCGCGGCCGAUUAGUUAGUUGGCAGGGUAAAAGCCUACCAAGACAGAGAUCGGUAGCCGGCCUGAGAGGGCACACGGCCACACUGGCACUGAAACACGGGCCAGACUCCUACGGGAGGCAGCAGUGGGGAAUCUUGCACAAUGGGGGAAACCCUGAUGCAGCGACGCCGCGUGAGCGAUGAAGCCCUUCGGGGUGUAAAGCUCUUUCGGCAGGGAAGAUAAUGACGGUACCUGCAGAAGCAGCUGCGGCUAACUACGUGCCAGCAGCCGCGGUAAUACGUAGGCAGCAAGCGUUGUUCGGAGUUACUGGGCGUAAAGGGUGUGUAGGCGGAUGUUUAAGUUUGGUGUGAAAUCUCCCGGCUCAACUGGGAGGGUGCGCCGAAUACUGAAUGACUCGAGUGCGGGAGAGGAAAGUGGAAUUCCUGGUGUAGCGGUGAAAUGCGUAGAUAUCAGGAGGAACACCGGUGGUGUAGACGGCUUUCUGGACCGUAACUGACGCUGAAACACGAAAGCGUGGGUAGCAAACAGGAUUAGAUACCCUGGUAGUCCACGCCCUAAACGAUGCAUAUUUGGUGUGGGCCAUUCAGUUGGGUCCGUGCCGGAGCUAACGCGUUAAAUAUGC
RNAcentral lists this ribosomal RNA (774 nucleotides) under uncultured bacterium. Its description in RNAcentral is "bacterial SSU rRNA". It matches the Rfam family "Bacterial small subunit ribosomal RNA", at positions 62 to 869 of the family's 1533-position model. The record is from RNAcentral.